This 455-nucleotide ribosomal RNA is filed under the name uncultured bacterium. Its description in RNAcentral is "bacterial SSU rRNA". It matches the Rfam family "Bacterial small subunit ribosomal RNA", at positions 355 to 825 of the family's 1533-position model. The record is from RNAcentral.
UCGAGGAUCUUCCGCAAUGGGCGAAAGCCUGACGGAGCGACACCGCGUGCAGGAUGAAGGCCUUCGGGUUGUAAACUGCUUUAGCGCCAUAGGAACUCCGCAAGGAUUGACUAAAGCGUAAAUAAGCACCGGCUAACUACGUGCCAGCAGCCGCGGUAAUACGUAGGGUGCAAGCGUUAAUCGGAAUUACUGGGCGUAAAGCGUGCGCAGGCGGUUUUGUAAGUCUGAUGUGAAAUCCCCGGGCUCAACCUGGGAAUUGCAUUGGAGACUGCAAGGCUAGAAUCUGGCAGAGGGGGGUAGAAUUCCACGUGUAGCAGUGAAAUGCGUAGAUAUGUGGAGGAACACCGAUGGCGAAGGCAGCCCCCUGGGUCAAGAUUGACGCUCAUGCACGAAAGCGUGGGGAGCAAACAGGAUUAGAUACCCACGUAGUCCCUGAGCGGGCUGGCAAGGCGCAU